GUACACGCUGUGACUAGCAUAUCAAUAAGCGGAGGAAAAGAAACUAACAAGGAUUCCCUUAGUAACGGCGAGUGAAGCGGGAAGAGCUCAAAUUUGAAAUCUUGAAAGGUCACCUUUCACGAAUUGUAGUUUAAAGAAGUGUUUUCUGUUACGAUCGUAAUAUAAGUUCUUUGGAAUAGGACAUCACAGAGGGUGAGAAUCCCGUCUAUGAUUGCGAUUUGUAGCUUUGUGAUACACUUUCAAAGAGUCGGGUUGUUUGGGAAUGCAGCCCAAAACGGGAGGUAAAUUUCUUCUAAGGCUAAAUAUUGGCGAGAGACCGAUAGCGAACAAGUACCGUGAGGGAAAGAUGAAAAGAACUUUGAAAAGAGAGUUAAAUAGUACGUGAAAUUGUCAAAAGGGAAGCGUUUAACACCAGUGUUGUUUUCUGAAAAUCAACCUCUGUUAGCUUUAUGCAUGUUUGUUUAGACCUAAUCAGCUAUCUUUCAUGUUCUAUUGUUUGCAGUGGUGCACUUUUCAGUUUACAGGUCAACAUCAGUUUUUUUUACCGUAAAAAAGUUAAAGAAAGGUAGCUCAUGGCUCCGGUCGUGAGUGUUAUAGUCUUUUUCCUAUGCGGUAGGAGAGACUGAGGUCUGCAGUGUAGGCUAUUUGGCUAGAUACUCAGGUGCUAUGUGAUACCAUUUCAUAAACAACUUGUUGAUUAUGUUUUGUCUAUUGCAUACUCGCUUGUACUAUCAUACCUACGCUUAGGAUGUUGAGUAGCGACAUACGCAC
RNAcentral lists this ribosomal RNA (771 nucleotides) under uncultured Neocallimastigales. RNAcentral's name for it is "partial large subunit ribosomal RNA". The stretch from base 4 to 661 matches the Rfam family "Eukaryotic large subunit ribosomal RNA", at positions 24 to 664 of the family's 3401-position model. Lineage: Eukaryota; Fungi; Neocallimastigomycota; Neocallimastigomycetes; Neocallimastigales. The record is from RNAcentral.